CCUACGGGAGGCUGCAGUGGGGAAUAUUGGACAAUGGGCGAAAGCCUGAUCCAGCCAUGCCGCGUGUGUGAAGAAGGCCUUCGGGUUGUAAAGCACUUUCAGUGGGGAAGAAAGCCUUGGGGCUAAUACCCUCGAGGAAGGACAUCACCCACAGAAGAAGCACCGGCUAACUCCGUGCCAGCAGCCGCGGUAAUACGGAGGGUGCGAGCGUUAAUCGGAAUUACUGGGCGUAAAGCACGCGUAGGCGGUCUGAUAAGCCGGUUGUGAAAGCCCCGGGCUCAACCUGGGAACGGCAUCCGGAACUGUCAGGCUAGAGUGCAGGAGAGGAAGGUAGAAUUCCCGGUGUAGCAGUGAAAUGCGUAGAGAUCGGGAGGAAUACCAGUGGCGAAGGCGGCCUUCUGGACUGACACUGACGCUGAGGUGCGAAAGCGUGGGUAGCAAACAGGAUUAGAUACCCGAGUAGUC
RNAcentral lists this ribosomal RNA (465 nucleotides) under Vreelandella stevensii. Its description in RNAcentral is "partial 16S ribosomal RNA". It matches the Rfam family "Bacterial small subunit ribosomal RNA", at positions 338 to 795 of the family's 1533-position model. The record is from RNAcentral. Lineage: Bacteria; Pseudomonadati; Pseudomonadota; Gammaproteobacteria; Oceanospirillales; Halomonadaceae.